UAGUCCACGCCCUAAACGAUGCACACUAGUUGUUGCAAUGCUAGACAUUGCAGUAAUGCAGUUAACACAGUAAGUGUGCCGCCUGGGGAGUACGGUCGCAAGAUUAAAACUCAAAGGAAUAGACGGGGACCCGCACAAGCGGUGGAGCAUGUGGUUUAAUUCGACGAUACGCGAAGAACCUUACCUGGCCUUGACAUAGUUAGAAUAUAGCAGAGAUGUAAUAGUGCUAGUUUACUAGAGCUAACAUACAGGUGCUGCACGGCUGUCGUCAGCUCGUGUCGUGAGAUGUUGGGUUAAGUCCCGCAACGAGCGCAACCCACGUCGUUAGUUACUAACAGUUCGGCUGAGGACUCUAACGAGACUGCCUGGGUAACCAGGAGGAAGGUGUGGACGACGUCAAGUCAUCAUGGCCCUUACGGCCAGGGCUACACACGUGCUACAAUAGUUUUCAAAAAGAAGCAAAAAUGUAAGUUUUAGCAAAUCUUCAAAAAAUUGAAGUUCGGAUUGUUUU
Molecule: ribosomal RNA, 511 nt
Filed under: uncultured bacterium
Lineage: Bacteria
Description: bacterial SSU rRNA
Rfam family: Bacterial small subunit ribosomal RNA
Source: RNAcentral